Molecule: ribosomal RNA, 506 nt
Filed under: uncultured bacterium
Lineage: Bacteria
Description: partial 16S ribosomal RNA
Rfam family: Bacterial small subunit ribosomal RNA
Source: RNAcentral
AGUGAACGCUGGCGGUAGGCCUAACACAUGCAAGUCGAACGGCAGCACAGGAGAGCUUGCUCUCUGGGUGGCGAGUGGCGGACGGGUGAGGAAUACAUCGGAAUCUACUCUGUCGUGGGGGAUAACGUAGGGAAACUUACGCUAAUACCGCAUACGACCUACGGGUGAAAGCAGGGGACCUUCGGGCCUUGCGCGGUUGAAUGAGCCGAUGUCGGAUUAGCUAGUUGGCGGGGUAAAGGCCCACCAAGGCGACGAACCGUAGCUGGUCUGAGAGGAUGAUCAGCCACACUGGAACUGAGACACGGUCCAGACUCCUACGGGAGGCAGCAGUGGGGAAUAUUGGACAAUGGGCGCAAGCCUGAUCCAGCCAUACCGCGUGGGUGAAGAAGGCCUUCGGGUUGUAAAGCCCUUUUGUUGGGAAAGAAAUCCAGCUGGCUAAUACCCGGUUGGGAUGACGGUACCCAAAGAAUAAGCACCGGCUAACUUCGUGCCAGCCGCCGCGGUAA